AGGAAGUACGAUUUAAGCUAUUAGGUGGAUGACUCGGUUCGAGACGCCGAUGAAGGGCGUGACAAGCUACGAUAUGCCCUGGCGAGCAGCAUGUAUGCUUUGAACCAGGGGUGCCUGAAUGCGACUUCGCUUUAAGACCGAAAGGUCAGGGAACGCAGGGAACUGAAACGUCUCAGUACCUGCAGGAAAAGAAACCAAACGGGAUGCGGUUAGUAAGAGCGACCGAAAACCGCAGAAGGCAAACUGAAUCUUGCAUGGAAACAUGCAAGAGAUGUGGUGUUUGGACCGCCUCUUAACCUUCGCUAGUCGACCUGAAGUCUGCUGGAAAGCAGCACGCCAAAGGGUGAUAGUCCCGUAAGGGAAGACUAGAAAGGUGUGGCGAGCUCCAGAGUACUGUCAAUUGGAUAUUUGGCAGGAAUGCGGGAGGCAUCAACUUCCAACCUUAAAUACGUCUCGAGUCCGAUAGCGUACAGUACAGUGAUGGAACGUUGAAAAGAACCCUUGACAGGGAGUUAAAAGACUCUGAAACCUAAUAGCUACGGUGAGUUACGGCUCUUAGGAGUUGUAACGUCCGUUUUGAAUAACGUGCCAGGGAGUGCAUUUGAGUGGCAAGGGUAACUCGUAAAGAGGCACCCGCAGGGAAACCGAAAGGCCCGCAGGAAACCAGGGGCUAGGUAUGAAAAUGCCUCAAGUCACUUGAAUGCGACCCGAAGCCGCGUGAUCUAACCCAGGGCAAGGUGAAGCGGGGGUAAAACCUCGUGGAGGCCUGCAGAGAACUUACGUGCAAGUAGUCUUCUGACCUUGGGCUAGGGGUGAAAAGCCAAUCGAACGCGGUGAUAGCUGGUUCCUACCGAAAUUGGCCGCAGUCAAGUCUCGGAGGAGAUAGUUGGAGAGGUAGAGAUACGGAUUGGGGAUUUAGGGAGGGAAACUUCUCGGUUCCCUGUCCAACUCCGAAUGUUCCAACGUCGUAGAUUCCGGGAAACGGCUACUCGCCGUAAGGGUGGGUAGCUAGAGGGGAACAACCCAGACUGGAGUUAAGGUCCCUAAAUAUACGCUAAGUGUUAAAGGGUGAAAGGCGUUUACAUUCAAAGACAGCGAGGAGGUUGGCUUAGAAGCAGCCACCCUAUAAUAAGUGCGUAACAGCUUACUUGUCAAGAAUGUAAGCCCUGAAAAUGGACGGGGCUAAGCGUAUUACCGAUACUCCAGACAUCCGCAAGGAUCGUGGUAGGUAGGCGUUCUGCGAGGGCAAAAGCUUUCUUGAAAGAGGGAGUGAACCUCGUAGAAAUGAGAAUCCUGGUGAAAGUAGGAUCAUAGCAGAGUGAGAAUCUCUGCCACCGAAAGGGCAAGGGUUCCUUGACAAUGCAGUUCAGUCAAGGGUAAGUUGAUCCUAACCGUUCUCCUAACAGGUUGAACGGGAAAGGGAAAAAGGUUAAGAUUCCUUUACUGUCCAAGUACUCGUGGCAACACAAGUCUUGUUUCCGACAGUUCUGGCUAGAUUGACACAAGUCAUCCAUUGUGUUAACCGAUGCAAUUCAAGGGAGGAUCGUAAUGAUGAGAACUUGAAUAAACCCGGGAAUAGUGGGCCUUUGGUCCAUUCAGUCGAUGCCUGGACUCCAUGAAAAGGGAACAGGAAUGGAACCUGGACAGCCAUACCCAGAACCAGCACAGGUGCCCCUAGGUUAGAAGCCUAAGGUGUGAGGGAUUAAUCCGUUUUAGGGAACUCGGCAAAUUAGCCCCGUACCUUCGGUAUAAGGGGUCCCUACGCUCGUAGCCCUAUGGUUGCGAGUAUAGGGCGCAGUGACUAAGGGGGUCCGACUGUUUAACAAAAACACAACUUUCUGCUAGCCUGAAAAGGUGUGUACAGAAGGUGACGUCUGCCCAGUGCCAGUACUUCAAACUCCUUUCCAAGGGAGCUAAGAGCUGGUAAACGGCGGGAGUAACUAUAACUCUCUUAAGGUAGCGAAAUGCCUUGCCGUUUGAAUGACGGCCUGCAUGAAUGGCGUAACGAGAUCCCCACUGUCCCAAGACGGAAUCCCCUGAAAACUCUUUACUGGUGCAAAGGCCAGUGAUUCCCAGUGGGAAGCGAAGACCCCGUGAAACUUUACUGUAGCUUGUUGUUGCGACGUGAGUUUUGUUGUAUAGUGUAAGUGGGAGUCGCUAUGUUAUGGUCGCCAGAUCAUGAAUAGACGCCGAUGUAACACCACUCUUCAAGACUUACGCCGCUCACUUGGAGACAAGGACAGCGGCAGGUGGACAGUUUGGCUGGGGUGGCACACCGUUGAAAGUAUAUCAAUGGUGCCCUAAGGUUGGCUCAACCGGGUCAGAAAUCCGGUGUAGAGUGCAAGAGCAAAAGCCAGCCUGAUUGGAUUCCGGACAAGGAGGGAUCCAAAGACGAAAGUCUGGUCUAGCGAACCUCUAUGGCUCCUUGAUGGGGCCUAGAGAUGACCGAAAAGUUACUCCGGGGAUAACAGAGUUGUCGCGCCCGAGAGCUCAUUGUCGGAAAGCAGAGCUUUCGGACGAGUUGAUCGACGGCGCGGCUUGCUACAUCGAUGUCGGCUCUUCCUAUCCUGGCAGUGCAGAAAUAUCGAAGAAUUCCGUUCUUCGGAACAUCCAGUUUCUUCGGAACUGUAUGCUGCCAAGGGUGGGGGUGUUCACCCAUCAAAAGGGAUCGUGAGCUGGGUUCAGAACGCUGUGAGGCAGUUUGUUUGAUAUCUACUGGGAAUGUUUGGUGUCUGAGUGGAAGGAUCCUCUAGUACGAGAGGAACGGGGAUUCGAGGCCUCUGGUCGACCUGUUAUCUGACAAGGUACGCAGGGCAGCUACGCCUUACGGGAUAAGUGCUGAAAGCAUCUAAGCACGAAACCCCCCGCAAAAAGAGACACCUUGAACUCGAGAAAAAGACUCGUUUGAUAGGCACGGUGUGUAAGUACGAAGCUUCGGCGACGUAUUGAGCAUGCGUGUACUAACCGUUCGUAAUGUACUUCCU
This 2984-nucleotide ribosomal RNA is filed under the name Nanobdellota archaeon. RNAcentral describes it as "23S ribosomal RNA". It matches the Rfam family "Archaeal large subunit ribosomal RNA". Lineage: Archaea; Nanobdellati; Nanobdellota. The record is from RNAcentral.